This 187-nucleotide unclassified non-coding RNA is filed under the name plant metagenome. Its description in RNAcentral is "partial contains small subunit ribosomal RNA and internal transcribed spacer 1". The stretch from base 1 to 46 matches the Rfam family "Eukaryotic small subunit ribosomal RNA", at positions 1786 to 1831 of the family's 1831-position model. The record is from RNAcentral.
AAGUCGUAACAAGGUUUCCGUAGGUGAACCUGCGGAAGGAUCAUUACCUAGAGUUGUAGGCUUUGCCUACCAUCUCUUACCCGUGUCUUUUGAGUACCUUCGUUUCCUCGGCGGGUCCGCCCGCCGAUUGGACAAACUUAAACCCUUUGUAAUUGGAAUCAGCGUCUGAAAAACAUAAUAGUUACAA